Molecule: long non-coding RNA, 484 nt
Filed under: Mus spicilegus (steppe mouse)
Lineage: Eukaryota; Metazoa; Chordata; Mammalia; Rodentia; Muridae
Description: lncRNA (ENSMSIG00000019494.1)
Source: RNAcentral
CUCUACAGAUGGGAAAUAAACAGCCUGUUUCCAACCCACAUAAAACACAGAUGCCUCCCAAACCACAGGUUUGCCCUGGACACUUGCGACAGUCACGCCAGCUGUCUGUGUUGUUCCUUUCCACAGAUCUACCCACAGACGAGGUCUGCACCACCUACUAUAUGUCAAGACAAAGGAAAGAGGGAGAACCCAUGAAGACUCUAGAUAUCAACAAUGACGUAAAGACUUCUGGAUGCCUCGAAAGCCUGGCACUAAGAAGUUGCAGAGUAGAAGGCAGAGAAGACCUACCAGUCUAUGGCUACCUCCAUAAAAACAUCUAAUCUUUACAACUACAAAAAAAAAAAAAAAAAGUCAACGACAAAUGAGAAGCCAGCGGCGACACUGGACACUGUGUUAUUCUGGCGCCUGAUCCUUUUUAAGUGAGUUUUCUAUUUUAAGAGCUGGGAUGUCAAUAGUGCUUAAUUUAAUCAGCUUCUCAUAGGUU